UUGCAGAGGCAGCUUCUGGUGCGGUGCCGUCCGAGUCUCCUGGAACGGAGCGCCAUAGAGGGUGAGAGCCCCGUAUGGACGGAUGCCAAACCUGUGUGAAGCUCCUUCGACGAGUCGAGUAGUUUGGGAAUGCUGCUCUAAAUGGGAGGUAAAUUCCUUCUAAAGCUAAAUAUUGGCCAGAGACCGAUAGCGCACAAGUAGAGUGAUCGAAAGAUGAAAAGCACUUUGAAAAGAGGGUUAAACAGCACGUGAAAUUGUUGAAAGGGAAGCGCUUGUGACCAGACUUGAGCGCGGCGGAUCAUCCGGNGUUCUCACCGGUGCACUCCGCCGUGUCCAGGCCAGCAUCGGUUUCCGCGGGGGGACAAAGGUCCCGGGAACGUAGCUCCUCCGGGAGUGUUAUAGCCCAGGGCGCAAUGCCCCCGCGGGGACCGAGGACCGCGCAUCUGCAAGGAUGCUGGCGUAAUGG
RNAcentral lists this ribosomal RNA (466 nucleotides) under fungal endophyte sp. DM181. RNAcentral's name for it is "eukaryotic LSU rRNA". It matches the Rfam family "Eukaryotic large subunit ribosomal RNA", at positions 150 to 637 of the family's 3401-position model. Lineage: Eukaryota; Fungi. The record is from RNAcentral.